CAGAAAAUAGUUUACAUAAAAUAGUAAUUUUGGGUAUUACAGAGGGGGUUAUCUUUUUCUGA
Molecule: transfer RNA, 62 nt
Filed under: Alicella gigantea
Lineage: Eukaryota; Metazoa; Arthropoda; Malacostraca; Amphipoda; Alicellidae
Description: tRNA-Pro
Source: RNAcentral